GGACUACAAGGGUAUCUAAUCCUGUUUGCUCCCCACGCUUUCGCAGAUCAGCGUCAGUAUCGGGCCAGUGAGCCGCCUUCGCCACUGGUGUUCUUGCGAAUAUCUACGAAUUUCACCUCUACACUCGCAGUUCCACUCACCUCUCCCGAACUCAAGAUCGCCAGUAUCAAAGGCAGUUCUGGAGUUGAGCUCCAGGAUUUCACCCCUGACUUAGCAAUCCGCCUACCUGCGCUUUACGCCCAGUGAUUCCGAGCAACGCUAGCCCCCUUCGUAUUACCGCGGCGGCUGGCAC
RNAcentral lists this ribosomal RNA (292 nucleotides) under uncultured bacterium. RNAcentral's name for it is "partial 16S ribosomal RNA". The record is from RNAcentral.